UGGCUGCUGGGCCCUGUGCACAAAUCAGCUGGGCGUCCAUGAGAGCUGGGAGCAAAGAGGCUCAGAUUCCCCAUGCACCAACCGGCCAUCAUGCCCCUUCCCGGACUCAUUGGCCGGUAAGGUGAAGUCAUUUUUUUCCCCCUG
Molecule: long non-coding RNA, 144 nt
Organism: Gavialis gangeticus (Gharial)
Lineage: Eukaryota; Metazoa; Chordata; Crocodylia; Gavialidae
Exons: 3
Source: RefSeq, a predicted model, not a curated record